This is a small nuclear RNA of Trichosurus vulpecula (common brushtail), 108 nucleotides long. Lineage: Eukaryota; Metazoa; Chordata; Mammalia; Diprotodontia; Phalangeridae. The record is from RefSeq and is a predicted model, not a curated record.
GUGCUCACUUUGGCAACACAUAUACUAAAACUGGAAUAUUAUAGGGAAGAUUAGUAUGGCCCCUGUACAAACGAUGACACACGAAUUCAUGAAGUGUUCCAUAUUUUU